RNAcentral lists this ribosomal RNA (494 nucleotides) under uncultured Gammaproteobacteria bacterium. Its description in RNAcentral is "bacterial SSU rRNA". It matches the Rfam family "Bacterial small subunit ribosomal RNA", at positions 523 to 1012 of the family's 1533-position model. Lineage: Bacteria; Pseudomonadati; Pseudomonadota; Gammaproteobacteria. The record is from RNAcentral.
AUACGGAAGGUCCAAGCGUUAAUCGGAAUUACUGGGCGUAAAGCGCGCGUAGGUGGUUUAUUAAGUUGGAUGUGAAAUCCCCGGGCUCAACCCUGGGAACUGCAUCCAAAACUGAUUCACUAGAGUACGAUAGAGGGAGGUAGAAUUCACAGUGUAGCGGUGGAAUGCGUAGAUAUUGUGAAGAAUACCAAUGGCGAAGGCAGCCUCCUGGAUCUGUACUGACACUGAGGUGCGAAAGCGUGGGUAGCGAACAGGAUUAGAUACCCUGGUAGUCCACACCGUAAACGCUGUCUACUAGCUGUUUGUGAAUUUAAUUCGUGAGUAGCGAAGCUAACGCGAUAAGUAGACCGCCUGGGGGAGUACGGCCGCAAGGUUAAAACUCAAAAUGAAUUGACGGGGGCCCGCACAAGCGGUGGAGCAUGUGGUUUAAUUCGAUGCAACGCGAAGAACCUUACCUACUCUUGACAUACUAGAAACUUUUCAGUAGAUGAAUU